ACUCCCCGGCGGCAUCGUGUGCGAUCCCUGCCACACUUCCAGACGGUGACCAGCGCUGCCCCACCCGCAGACGAGGGACCGAGGCUCAGGAGAGCACACGGCCUGCCCAGAGCCCAGAGCAGCACACACUGGCCGUGGUCGCCUGCCAUCUGCGCCCGGGGCCUGGCGCUCCCCACUGCUCUGCUCUGCCUCCUAGAAAGGUCCCCGGCCAGGCCAGCUACAAUGACACGGUGACACGGUGACACAUGAGCCGCCCAUGAGAGUACAGAGCCCUGUGCAGUGUCGGGAGCCAGAGGGCUCACCCCCCGGGAGCGAGGAAUGUUCCUCAGAUCGUCUGGACCCUUGGCACGGGGAGGGUGCAGAGGAAGGUGGCAGGUGGCACCGUGCAGGUGCUGGAUGCUGGUGGCAGAAACGCCCCUAGGACGCCAGCCUGGAAGGGGCCGAUUGUGCCGCGAAUCUUCCAGGCCACGCUCAACUCAGCAGCCAGAGGGAUCAGAUCGUCCAAAGUGUCAGCUGAUGUGUGUGCCCGGCCUCAGCCCUUCCCGGCCCUGCUCCUGCCACACUGCUGACCACUGCACUCGAAGCCAUCCCAGCUCCCUUUCAGGAGGGCUGGGGCGUCAGGGGAAAGGGACAGAGCCCCCGGGGAGCUUGGGCCCAACAGCCCUUACUUCCCAGGCGUAAGUCGCGCCCUGUAAUGGCCAGGGUUCUCCAGAGAAGCAGGACCAGUGGGAUGUGUAUAUUUAUACAGACAGAUUUAUUUUGAGGAGUUGGCUCAUGUGCGUCAACUUGGAGUCUGGCAAGUCCUAAAUCUGCAGGACAGGCCAACAGGCAGGAGAGUCAGGAAGAGCCAGUGUUUCAGUUCAAGUUCAAAGGCCAUCCACGGGCGGAAUUCCCUCUUGCUCAGAGGAAGUCAGUUUUUUUGUUCUAUUUGGGCCUUCAACUGAUUGGACGAGGCCCACCCACACCAUGGAGAGCAAUUUGCGUCACUCGAAGUCUACUGAUACAAAUGUUCAUUUCGUCUAAAGAUAGCCUCACAGCAACACGCACAACGAUGUUUGACGAGAUAUCUGGGCUCAAUGAACCAGCCAAGCAGACACACAACUGACCAUCCCACUCACGGAUGGGUAUCAUGUGACGUGUAGCUCGGAGACUUCCCACUACGGUGCUUGGGACACGGUCCACGAUCCGUAACAGGAUUCCAAAGCCACGGAGGGUCCCUCCGGUCCCCCGGGUCACUGGUUGCCAGACACACCGACCUUGUUUCCGUGCCCAGCCUUUGCACAAGUAGGAUUCCCACGGGAGACGCUGCACCCCAGCCCUUCUGCUGGUCCCAUGGAAACUUUCCCUGCAUCCUCAACGUCUGAGCACGACCUAGAGCUCCCUGUGAGCCGCGCCAUGUCUCAGACAGCGCAAGGGGCUCAGGACCCUGAGACUCAGUCCUGCUGCCCGCCCCACAUGCUGUCGCUCCCGGUUCAGUCUUCCAACUUCACAGAGCUCCUGCUGUCCUAGACGACGAGGCUGACUCAGUUUCCCCCUUGUAAGCCAGUGUCUUGCACACGGUUCCUUCUUGUAGCUGGCCCUUCCUUCUGGGGUAUUUUUUCCUCCUGUAGUACAUUCUUUAAAAGUUCCUGCUAGGGGGAUUCCUAGGUGGCUCAGUGGUUUAGCGCCUGCCAUGGGCCCAGGGCAUGAUCCUGGAGACAUGGUAUCGAGUCCUGCAUGGAGCCUGCUUCCCCCCUAGCCCUUGUCUCUGCCCCUCUCUCUCUCUCCCUCUGUGUCUCUUAUGAAUAAAUAAAUAAAAUCUUUAAAAAAUAAUAAAAAAAUAAAAGUUCUUGCUAGUGGCAAACUCUCUCAACAUCUCCAAAAUUUUAUCUGAAAAAAAUUUGUCUGGGCUGUUAACUAUCUGAAAAUUUUAUUUUGCACUUUUUUUUUUUUUUUUUUUUUGGAAAACAGUGUGAAAAGUUCUCAAUGGACCAUUACUGUCCUCUGAGCACCUUAUGGGGACUCACCUCACUGUCUUGGUUUCCACUGCUGCUCAAGUCCUGCUGCCUGCCUAGCUGCUGUUUCUUUUUGUUUUUUUAAGGAUUGUAUAUAUUUAUUCCUGAGAGACACAGAGAGAGAGAGGCAGGGACACAAGAGGAGGGAAAAGCAGGCUCCAUGCAGGGAGCCCGAUGCUCUUUCACCAGUUCUUUUCCUCUUUUUAAGAGAGAGAGAGAGAGAGAGAGAGAUACAUGAGCUGGAGGGGCAGAGAGGGCAGGAGAGACACUCAAGCAGGCUCCCCCGCUGAGUGUGCAGCCCGACGGGGGCCCAUCCGGAGCAGAAAUCCAGAGUCAGAUGCUUGACCCCUGAGCCACCAGGCCCCCUGUCACCGGCUCUGAGGCAGAGGGUCUUCAAACACUGGCUCUCUCCUCUGUGCUGCCUGCCGUGUGCCCCCUCUCCUUCCGUGUCCCCCUCCGCGCCCCUCGCACCGUGUUCUUGAUCAUUUCUGUGGACUCACAUUCCAGUUCGCAAGCUCCUUCCUCGCUUGCGCCUAUGCCGCCUCCUGCAUUUGCUGUUUGUUGUUUUUUACACGACAGCUUUACUGAAACGUAACUCGCCUGCUGUAAAAUUCACCCUUUUAAGGUUUCUAAUUCAGGGGGUUUUAGUACAUCCACGUGUUGCAUGACUUCCAUCACUUGAAAAGCAAUCCCUUGACCAUUAGCCGGGAGCCCCGGUUCCUUCCUCCCGCCAGUGGAGGCAACCGCAUGUCUACUUUCUCUCUUUUUUGGAUUUUUCCAUUCUGGGCGUCUCAUACAAAUGAAGCCACACCAUGUAUGUUUUUCAAAAGGAUUUUAUUUUCAUUUAGCAUUAAUCAAAGUUUCUGAUGACCUUUUAAUUUCAGUGAAAAGUUUCUCGUUUCCAGAGGCUCUCCGUUUUUCAGCUAAGCACUGUCAGUUUUGAUAUUCCUUGUUCUUUCCCUUAAUAUAUCCUAAACCCACAAGGCAGGUUAAUUUUAUAUUCUAUAUUUAACACUUUCAGAUUAGAAAAUUUGUGGAGACUUAAACCUGUUCCUCCUCAUUGCUUCUGUGGUGUCUUUGGAGGCCUCUUUCUUUGGAUGUUUGCUGAUUUUGACUUUGAACUCAUAUUGGAAUGGAACCCUCGGGAACCACAGGCUCCCAGGUGGGUUGCCUGUCUGUGUCCUUUGCCUCUGCUCCCCCGGAGCCCCGGCGGGGCACGAGGCGCACAGGUUCUGAGGCCAAGCUGCUCCAGUUCCAACCUGGGCUGUGUCACCUGCUCAGUGUGUGACCUUGGGCAGGGAGCUCAAGCUCUGUGCUUUGGUCUCCUCCUUAUAAGGUGGGGAUGUCAAUAAUAGUUCGCAGCAGGGGGGGUGGUGAGGCUGUGAGGACACAGUACCUGCGUCUGGAACAGAAGACACACUAGGUGCUCCGCCAACAGUACGACGACACCUCACAAGGGCACAUCUGUGAUAAUCGUUUGUGUAAAGCAAGACUGGGGAAGGGGGCAGAAGCCUCCCCACUGCGCCGGCCCAGGCCCAGGGCAGCGGCGGGCGGGCUCACGGGGCUCCUCCAUGAGUGCUUGCCGGCCGGAGGAAGGCAGGGCAGAAAGGAACGACCCCAACCCUUGCACAGCAGCCGGGGC
Molecule: long non-coding RNA, 3636 nt
Filed under: Canis lupus familiaris (dog)
Lineage: Eukaryota; Metazoa; Chordata; Mammalia; Carnivora; Canidae
Description: lncRNA (ENSCAFG00000056574.1)
Source: RNAcentral